ACAACAGGGAUUGCCCUAGUAACGGCGAGUGAAGCGGCAACAGCUCAAAUUUGAAAUCUGGCCUUCGGGUCCGAGUUGUAAUUUGUAGAGGAUGCUUUUGGCGCGGUGCCUUCCGAGUUCCCUGGAAUGGGACGCCUUAGAGGGUGAGAGCCCCGUAUGGUUGGACACCAAGCCUCUGUAAAGCUCCUUCGACGAGUCGAGUAGUUUGGGAAUGCUGCUCUAAAUGGGAGGUAAAUUUCUUCUAAAGCUAAAUAUUGGCCAGAGACCGAUAGCGCACAAGUAGAGUGAUCGAAAGAUGAAAAGCACUUUGAAAAGAGGGUUAAAUAGCACGUGAAAUUGUUGAAAGGGAAGCGUUUGCGACCAGACCUUUUCGUAGCGGAUCAUCCGGUGUUCUCACCGGUGCACUUCGCUUCGUUUAGGCCAGCAUCGGUUUCUGUAGGGGGAUAAAAGCCUGGGGAACGUAGCUCCCCCGGGAGUGUUAUAGCCCCUCGCAUAAUACCCUUACGGGGACCGAGGACCGCGCUUUAUGCAAGGAUGCUGGCGUAAUGGUCGUCAACGACCCGUCUUGAAACACGGACCAAGGAGUCGAACAUUUAUGCGAGUGUUUGGGUGUUAAACCCUCACGCGUAAUGAAAGUGAACGGAGGUGAGAGCCCUUACGGGUGCAUCAUCGACCGAUCCUGAUGUCUUCGGAUGGAUUUGAGUAAGAGCAUAACUGUUCGGACCCGAAAGAUGGUGAACUAUGCGUGGAUAGGGUGAAGCCAGAGGAAACUCUGGUGGAGGCUCGCAGCGGUUCUGACGUGCAAAUCGAUCGUCAAAUCUGCGCAUGGGGGCGAAAGACUUAUCGAACCAUCUAGUAGCUGGUUACCGCCGAAGUUUCCCUCAGGAUAGCAGUGUUGUUCUUCAGUUUUAUGAGGUAAAGCGAAUGAUUAGGGACUCGGGGGCGCUUUUUAGCCUUCAUCCAUUCUCAAACUUUAAAUAUGUAAGAAGCCCUUGUUACUUAAUUGAACGUGGGCAUUCGAAUGUACCAACACUAGUGGGCCAUUUUUGGUAAGCAGAACUGGCGAUGCGGGAUGAACCGAACGCGGGGUUAAGGUGCCGGAGUGGACGCUCAUCAGACACCACAAAAGGUGUUAGCACAUUUAGACAAUAGGACGGUGGCCAUGGAAGUCGGAAUCCGCUAAGGACUGUGUAACAACUCACCUAUCGAAUGUGCUAGCCCUGAAAAUGGAUGGCGCUCAAGCGUCCCACCCAUACCUCGCCCUCAGGGUAGAAACGAUGCCCUGAGGAGUAGGCGGCCGUGGGGGUCAGUGACGAAGCCU
This 1321-nucleotide ribosomal RNA is filed under the name Xylaria grammica. RNAcentral's name for it is "eukaryotic LSU rRNA". It matches the Rfam family "Eukaryotic large subunit ribosomal RNA", at positions 65 to 1411 of the family's 3401-position model. Lineage: Eukaryota; Fungi; Ascomycota; Sordariomycetes; Xylariales; Xylariaceae. The record is from RNAcentral.